Molecule: long non-coding RNA, 487 nt
Organism: Dama dama (fallow deer)
Lineage: Eukaryota; Metazoa; Chordata; Mammalia; Artiodactyla; Cervidae
Exons: 4
Source: RefSeq, a predicted model, not a curated record
GCUGGCUCAGGACCUGACUCAGCCCUCCUGAAGGUUCUUGUGGCUCUGAGGGAGUUCUCAAAGGUGACUGCUGAGCCGCUUGGAGAGGAUGGGGCCAAAACCUCAAGGAAAAGCUUCUCAAACAAAGGAAGAAAGACAACAGGAGAGAAUGAAGUUGCUGCGAUACACAUCAGAUCCUCCCAUCCUUCAUCCUCUUCCCAUGCAAGGAAUUUGGCCACCCAAGCAUGCCACUGAGGAGGGACAAGACUUUGCAGUAAUGAAGAGCGCCCAGCACGGGAGGCACAUUUGUGCUCCAUUUGGAAUGCGUCUCUCUUGGCACCGGAAGAAAGGGUGACCCCAGACGGAUACCAUGUUUGGAAUUGGAAUCCAAGAGGCUCAGAGGAAGAAUACAUGUAAACAUAUGCAAAAAUGAAGUCACCCAUCAUUUCAAGAGAUAGCAGUCUGUAUAGCAUUGCUACCUCUUUUGUUAUCAGCUACUCAUUAUCAG